CACACACACACACACACACACACAUUCAUUCAUUCAUUUGGAGUGUAAGAUACACAAGACUACAGUACUUACCACUUUGAAGUCGACAUACACUGCCAUCAUCUACACUGCUUAGAAUACAUCUUUUUUGGCCUAAAGCUUUUGGAAUGUUACUUCAAGCCUAAUUGUUAGCUUAGGACAGGUCAAGUCACUCAUACAUUGAUGGUCAUUGCAGAAAUUAGCAAAUAAAAUAAAUUUUAAGGUAUUGUUAAAUUUUUACAGUAAAGCACUGUGAAUAAUUAAGUGAGGCUCCAUUUAUAAAUAUUGUAGCAUUGUUUCCCAAACUGGGGGUAUGUCACAAAGGGAGGAAAAAAAUCCUGUGGGCAUGAUGAAGUCAUUUGCCCAAAAUUCAUGUUCAAAAGUUUAUCGUGAAAUUACUCCAAGAAGCAAUUCUUGAUUGACAAUGUCCAAUGCCUGUAUUAUUUGUUUAAUCUCAUGUCUUGUUUUUUUGUAGACGGUGCUGGGAUGUAAACCUUAAAAAUAUAUAUAUAAUUUCAUCUAACAUAGUAAAUAUGCUAUGGGAGGGAUAUUAAAAAUAGAUAAAGGGUCAUCAUGUAAGAUGAGCUGCAUUGCUUUAAAAGAUUGUAAUCAACUUUGUCAAUAUGACUGACAUCACAUUUAAGCUGGAAGCUAGUUUUGCUUGCACAGUAUUCAUAAUUUGUUUUUGUCAUUGUUUUCAGUUUAUUGCCUAAUGUUUAGUGAUAUUUUGUAGUAUAACCUGAAGUAAUUUUUUACAAUCUAAAGUAAUCUAACCAGAUUCUUUGUGGCUGGAAUUAUAAGGAAUCUGUGUGAGAAAAUGAAGGCUUGUAUAAAUUUUUAGAAAUCAUGCAGGAUUGUAUCUUGUUCAUGCGUCACGUCAUGUCACGUCAGGCAUAGGCCAUUCACAACAGACAUGCAAGAGCAAGCAAACAUAAAGAAGAUGAACUGCACUGUUUAUGACAAGUCAGCAAAGAUCAAUAUAUGUAAAAUGGUAAAUCAGGCACACGGUACAAUGAUCAGAGCAGCAUUAAGGUUGAGGGGACACCAAGGAGCAAACAAAAACUCUGCUUCAGGAGAAGGCUGUAUAUUGGGAUCUUGGUACAUGUGGCUGUAACAUGCUUCACCACAAUAGAAGGGAGGCACUGCAGGCAAGGUGGAUGGGAAUGCCCAAAUCUACUUUCCACAUUUGGCUGACAUUAAUGACCUUCAAGUGUACUUCACUUGAUGAGAAUACAUCUUGCUAAUGUGCCUUUAUCACAAGAUAUGAUGGUUAUUAUAUACAGCUGCCAGCCAAAACAAGGAAUAUUUAUACAUUUUACUAUUUUGUUUCCAGUGGUGUUGUAACCUUGAAAAGAACCUAUGCCUAGUGGAGCAACACCAUAGGCUCCUUUCCCCUCCUCCCUUACCAGCACCACCAUCACCACCACCACCACCGCCCACACCACCCUGCCUGGAGUGAUCACCGAACACAAAAAGAACAUGUGGCAGCACCAGAAAUGAGCAACAGUAACAGGGGAAGAAGGCUAAAGCAGAGGUGAGGUUUCUGACCCUUUCAUAGGCAGGAUUUGGAAAGUUCAAGAGGAGCAAAGUGUGCAUCGUGAAGCAAGUCAGAAAAUGAAACUGUGCAAAGUUUUGACAAAACAAAAGUAAACAUGCAAACACACUAAAGCAAAAUUAAGUGCAACUAAGUUUAUCUAAUGCUAUUCUCUCUCUCUCUCUCUCUCUCUCUCUCUCUCUCUCUCUCUCUCUCUCUCUCUCUCUCUCUCUCUCCCUGGCUCAUGUGUGUGUGUGUGUGUCUAUGUGUGUACAUACACACACACACACACACACACACACACACACACACACACACACACACACAGCUCACUGAUUUCAGCAAAACCUUAUCAUUGUCAUGGGUAAAAACGAAAAUAUAAUUAAUUUCAAAGCCAAAGAGCACUAUCAUUACUAUAAAACAUCUUUUUACAGAAAUGUCAGGACAACAGUAGUUAUACCUAGUAUGUAUUAUCAUAAAUUUUUACUCCUCAUAACUUAAAAAGAAAAUAUCUUGUACUGUUAUACCAAAACUGAUGUAUAUCACAGACCUGAGAACAUUAAGAAGGAAAGAAUAACGGCAAACAGGCUAUUGUAAUCAUUGUACUCUCUCCAGUUUUCUUAUAAAGAUCAUGCCAUUAAAAGUUACAGCAGAGAAAUGCUUAAAGCAAGUCACUCUCUUAAUUACAGCUUCUGGCUCAGACAAAUUUCACUAAGCAUUCUUGUUUGCUGGGCGUCUAAAGCUUCAUGUAUCAAAGGUUUCUCCUUACUGUAGAAGUGCACAGUUAUUCAGAAUUCCAGAGACUAAAUGUGACUAAGAAGAAACAAAAUGACGUGGUAAUGUUUCCUUGAGGUUCUGCACCAAAAUUACUCAUCUUUAGUUUAUGUAUAUGAUUUCACUGCAGGAUAAGAGCCUUACUUAAUAUAGUCUAUGUAUAUGAUUUCACUGCAGGAUAAGAUUCUUACUUAAUAGUUAGGGGAAGCAUCAAGUGUGAUACCAUGCCAUGCUGGCAUAAGGAGGAGGAGUCUUGACUAGAGGCCUACAGUAUGAAAUGAGACAAAGCUAAAAUAAUGUCAGGCUGGUCUGGUAUUUAAACUCAGGUAAUCUUGGCUGUAAGCUGAGCAUCCUAACUCCUCCAUAACCAGCUUAAGUUUACGGAUUCUAAAAUAAAUUGAAGUGCUGCCACGCCUAGAAAAUGACAAUUGAAUGUAGUAAUAAUUGGGUGUAAACCAAAUCCCCCUGAAAAAUAAAAGGCAAUACAACACCAGCUAUUCAGGCCAGUACUGAUCUUUUACUACCUUCAGGAGUCUAUUAUCUGACUUUCCUUUUCACAUAGCUGUAAUACAUAUAUAAAAUCUGGACUUUACUUGCAUGUCCUGCCUCUUUCUUGUACAUCUUGUAGAUAAUUAAAGCAUAAAAUUAGUUGAGUUGUAACAAUGUAAUUUAGUAAGUUGGCUGACAAGUUAGUACGUAAUAUGAGUUGGGUCGUCGUCGUCGGCUCCCACUUGUGUCCGAGUACUGGGUCAUAUAGGUUAAAUCAGCUCUCUAUUCAACCACUGAAAAAGCUUGUAUUCUACAGGGAGAUUUAUGGGCUGGCUGUAUUUGGAUCAAACUAUCAAAUUUUAUUAGAUGGGCUUUGUCUCCAGUUAGUCCAAUGGAUUGAGAUUUUACUGUAAUUUCAUUUAUAACCUUCAGUACAUGAAAUAAUUUAUCCUGCAUUAACCAAGCCUACCGCAGGAUGUGAAUCACAUGUCUGAUGGGAAAAGAAAAAUCUGGGAGGUAUUACCACUCAUGGAUAUGAAUGACAAGUGAAUCAUGAUUUGUAACCAAGUGAUGGAAAAAGUACUCAUUAAUUGGAAUCCAAUGUAUACUAAGAAUUAUUGCCCUCUAUGUACUGCAUGUGAGGAAAAAGGUGAUCUUUUAAAUUUUUUUGUAAAAGCAAAUUUUCAUUUAUAAAUGUUGAUUAAGAAGGAAAUUGUAAUUCAUAAUUAUUAAAAACUGGUAUUUAAUCAUGUUUCACCUGUCUUUAUAUGCACACAACCAAAGCAAGCAAUAGCUCAUCCAACACUGCCAGACACAUCAGUACACAAACUGCUAUACUACACAGUAGAUAUGUAACUUGCUGGAAAUGGUGCACUGUGACUGGUAUGAAAGUUUGAGCAAUGCCAUAUGCAAGUGUAUAUCUGCUAUUUAUACAAUCAUUUUAUAAUGUAUAAUGUGUCAAUUUAAUGCCUUCAAUAUUGUCUUAACUUCACUGGAAUACAAAUACAGUGAAUUAAAAAAUACUUGCAAUGUGUUUCACAGGUUUACCCUGUAAAAGAAGAAAACCUCCUCAAUUGUCUUUAGCAAGCUAAAUAUUUUUAAUUAUUUAUACUGGCAGUUCCCCCAAAUGAUGAAGCUUUACUUGGUGUGAUAGGUGUAGGAUCUUAUUUCCAAAAUUAAGUAUUACAUUGUGUGUUAACAAGCUGGUGGGGCUUAAGCUACAAGAGAGUGAACCACACAUAGUGAAAUUGUAUUUAUAAAGCAAAUUGUGUGGCAGAUUAGCAAUUACUCAUCUUUGACAGGCUUGCAGAUAAGUUACUUACAUGCCUUUGUAAACAAUAUAAACCAUGGUAGUGUUUAUCAUUCAAUUGAUGCUUUACUGACAGAAUACUUAAAAAAUUAGAUGAGUGUGUGUAAAAAAUUAGGUGAGUUUGUGUUCAGUCAGUUAACAACACUUCAUUGUAAUACACUGAAAUCCACUACAGUUUGGUUAUUGCUAUGACAAAUUUUAGAGUGACAGUAAAAGUGACCCAGGACUAUGAAUUGCAGCCUUUCACCACAUUAACACAAUACAUGUAAAUUGCAGAUGGCAGUAUACCAAUCACACUCCAUUAAGCACUAGUUAUCUACACCUGCACUCAAGCAAUACUCAGCUUGUGAGUAAACCAUUAUGAGGAGAAUUACAACUAGUCUGCAAAAGAUGAACUAAUCUGAAGGUUGUG
Long non-coding RNA from Portunus trituberculatus (swimming crab), 4536 nucleotides. RefSeq lists it as uncharacterized. The record is from RefSeq and is a predicted model, not a curated record. The transcript has 2 exons. NCBI's taxonomy places the organism in Eukaryota, Metazoa, Arthropoda, Malacostraca, Decapoda, Portunidae.